RNAcentral lists this ribosomal RNA (492 nucleotides) under uncultured bacterium. Its description in RNAcentral is "partial 16S ribosomal RNA". It matches the Rfam family "Bacterial small subunit ribosomal RNA", at positions 29 to 507 of the family's 1533-position model. The record is from RNAcentral.
AGUGAACGCUGGCGGUAGGCCUAAUACAUGCAAGUCGUGCGGCAGCACAGUAAUAGCUUUCCAUUACGGGUGGACGGUCGAGGACGGGCGAAGCACACAUCCAACUUUACUUUUUCGUGGGGGAUAACGUAGGGAAACUGACGCUAUUCCCGCAUACGACAUACGGGUGAAAGCAGGGGAUCUUCAAACCUUGCGCGAUCGAAUGAGCCGAUGUCCGAUUAGCUAGUUGGCGGGGUAAAGGCCCACCAAGGCGACGAUACGUAGAUGGUCUGAGAGGAUGAUCAGCCACACUAGAACUGAGACACGGUCCAGACUCCUACGGGAGGGAGCAGUGGGGAAUAUUGGACAGUGGGAGCGAGCCUAAUCCAGCCAUACCGCGUCGGUGAAGAAGGCCUUCGGGUUGUAGAUCCCUAUUGUUGGGAAAGAAAAGCAGCAGGUUAAUACCCCGCUGUUCUGACGGUACCCAAAGAAUAAGCACCGGCUAACUUCGUG